Molecule: small RNA, 58 nt
Filed under: Sinorhizobium meliloti 2011
Lineage: Bacteria; Pseudomonadati; Pseudomonadota; Alphaproteobacteria; Hyphomicrobiales; Rhizobiaceae
Description: putative ncRNA
Source: RNAcentral
AGCGCUAUUGAGUGUAGGGAUCUGGAAAAUGCUCCACGAUGCCCCUGACUCCGUGGAC